Molecule: long non-coding RNA, 470 nt
Filed under: Mus musculus (house mouse)
Lineage: Eukaryota; Metazoa; Chordata; Mammalia; Rodentia; Muridae
Description: long non-coding RNA chr11:55554939-55555409
Source: RNAcentral
AUGAUGAUGACUCCCGCACAAUGGGCCUUGGGAACUGUAGGAGAGAAAGUGCUGUGGUAUGAGGCCUUCAUCAGUGAUAUACUGCAGCAAGAUUUGAGGAAGGUGCUGGACCAUUGAGACAAGGUAAAUGAUCAGCUGUUCUAUACCAUCAGGUGAGAAAUGUCAUUGAACCACUCUAGGGAACUAAUCACCCAGAGUUACAUGUGUGGGUGGAUUUGGGCUGGAACAUUUUUGUUGAGGUAGUGAUCCCAGAUAUUUCACAUAUCUAUGUGUCUCUGGGAUAUGGCUUUUCCCCGGAGUUGACACUGGCUAAAGCUCUCAAGUUCAUUGGAUGAGAGAGUUCUCUCCUCACAGAGCUUAGGAUCAGCCUCACAAAGGACUCCAUGAAUGUCAAAGCCCAGAUCUGCAAGGUGCUAGGAGGACAUAGAGAACUAUAAGGCUGGCAGAACUCCCCAGAGCCAUCUCCCCAC